GGCCAGUGAAAAAACCAGUGAAGUCUGAAAGAGGAGAUGUUGUAGCUCAUGAAAAACUGGGAGUGAAGGGGAUGGCCUGUGGAACACCUGAAAUUAAGGGUGGGAGACUGGAACCAGUCUCAGAAUCAACCUGUGCAAGCCUUGGAAAGGUUGGAAACGAAGGAGUGUCGUGGAGUGGUGCCUUUGAUGAGGAGGCAUCUGCAAAGUCUUUUCAGGAAGCUUUGCUUCUGGGGUCCCAUCAGAACCUGUGGGGAUUUGUGAGGUGCAGACCAAUGUUACUGCUCUGAAGGAACCCAUCCAUGUGGAAUUCCAGAAGGAUGGCCUGAGCUACAUGGAGAAACUCCUGCUGAAGAAAUACAGGAGGACACCUGUUGAUCAAUUUUUUGCAAGUUGCAUGAAAGAUUCAAGGCCUGUGCAAUCCCCGAGUGUUCAUCAGGCUGGAGAAGGGGGACAAGGAGAUGAUGAUGAUGAUGACAUUGAAGAGUUAACAGAUGAAGAGGUGAAGAAAUACUGGGCAUCUGUUUAUAGAGGUGAAGAAUCCAACACUGUUUCUGCAAAUGCUGAGACAUCUUUGAAAAUUGAGUUCCUUGAUGAUUCUCAUAGCAAAGACUUGGAAGAAUCUUCAGACCCUCCAGUGGUUCUAACUGGAGCUGUGGGGAUGAGUAAGCAAGGAAAAACUGACCCACUGGAGUGUGAAAGGUAUCAGAAAUGCAGAGAUUGUCAGGGAGGAAAGGAAAUAAUCCCAAAUUUAGGGUUAGUUCCUAAGAAGUAA
This 772-nucleotide long non-coding RNA is filed under the name Cyanistes caeruleus (blue tit). Its description in RNAcentral is "lncRNA (ENSCCEG00000005750.1)". Lineage: Eukaryota; Metazoa; Chordata; Aves; Passeriformes; Paridae. The record is from RNAcentral.